This 496-nucleotide ribosomal RNA is filed under the name uncultured bacterium. Its description in RNAcentral is "partial 16S ribosomal RNA". It matches the Rfam family "Bacterial small subunit ribosomal RNA", at positions 29 to 507 of the family's 1533-position model. The record is from RNAcentral.
AUGAACGCUGGCGGCGUGCCUAAUACAUGCAAGUCGAGCGAACGGACGAGAAGCUUGCUUCUCUGAUGUUAGCGGCGGACGGGUGAGUAACACGUGGAUAACCUACCUAUAAGACUGGGAUAACUUCGGGAAACCGGAGCUAAUACCGGAUAAUAUUUUGAACCGCAUGGUUCAAAAGUGAAAGACGGUCUUGCUGUCACUUAUAGAUGGAUCCGCGCUGCAUUAGCUAGUUGGUAAGGUAACGGCUUACCAAGGCAACGAUGCAUAGCCGACCUGAGAGGGUGAUCGGCCACACUGGAACUGAGACACGGUCCAGACUCCUACGGGAGGCAGCAGUAGGGAAUCUUCCGCAAUGGGCGAAAGCCUGACGGAGCAACGCCGCGUGAGUGAUGAAGGUCUUCGGAUCGUAAAACUCUGUUAUUAGGGAAGAACAUAUAUGUAAGUAACUGUGCACAUCUUGACGGUACCUAAUCAGAAAGCCACGGCUAACUACGUG